This 262-nucleotide unclassified non-coding RNA is filed under the name Clonostachys sp. RNAcentral describes it as "partial contains 5.8S ribosomal RNA, internal transcribed spacer 2, and large subunit ribosomal RNA". Lineage: Eukaryota; Fungi; Ascomycota; Sordariomycetes; Hypocreales; Bionectriaceae. The record is from RNAcentral.
CGCACAUUGCGCCCGCCAGUAUUCUGGCGGGCAUGCCUGUCUGAGCGUCAUUUCAACCCUCAGGUCCCACUGGACCUGGUGUUGGGGCUCGGCCCGCCUCCCCGUGGGGAGGGCCGUCCCCUAAAUCUAGUGGCGGACCCGCUGUGGCCUCCUCUGCGUAGUAGUGAUACCCCGCAUGUGGAGUGCAGCGAGCCCCGGCCGUUAAACCCCCCAACUUCUCAAGGUUGACCUCAGAUCAGGUAGGAAUACCCGCUGAACUUAA